RNAcentral lists this long non-coding RNA (199 nucleotides) under Elaeis guineensis (African oil palm). RNAcentral describes it as "long non-coding RNA (EGUI_LNC068944)". Lineage: Eukaryota; Viridiplantae; Streptophyta; Magnoliopsida; Arecales; Arecaceae. The record is from RNAcentral.
UGACUAUGUAAAUUGACAUGAUCUGCUGCUCACGCAUGAGCCGAGUUCGAAAUCUCACAACCUCAUCGGAACCCAUUGACGUGCAACUUUCACUCUUCGCUGAUUUGAGAUCUACUUCGUUAGUACCAGUCGGGAAACCUCAUGAGUGAUACACCUUAGAAGAAAGAUAAAGACUCUUUCGUUGAGGCAAUCGAUGGAU